AUUGAACGCUGGCGGCAUGCCUUACACAUGCAAGUCGAACGGCAGCACGGGUGCUUGCACCUGGUGGCGAGUGGCGAACGGGUGAGUAAUACAUCGGAACGUACCUUAUCGUGGGGGAUAACGCAGCGAAAGCUGUGCUAAUACCGCAUACGCCCUGAGGGGGAAAGCGGGGGAUCGCAAGACCUCGCGCGAUUAGAGCGGCCGAUGCCUGAUUAGCUAGUUGGUGGGGUAAAAGCCCACCAAGGCGACGAUCAGUAGCUGGUCUGAGAGGACGAGCAGCAACACUGGGACUGAGACACGGCCCAGACUCCUACGGGAGGCAGCAAGGGGGAAUUGUGGACAAUGGGGGCAACCCUGAUCCAGCAAUGCCGCGUGAGUGAAGAAGGCCUUCGGGUUGUAAAGCUCUUUUGUCAGGGAAGAAACACCGGCUCUAACACAGUCCGGGAAUGACGGUACCUGAAGAAUAAGCACCGGCUAACUACGUGCCAGCAGCCGCCGUAA
Molecule: ribosomal RNA, 501 nt
Filed under: uncultured bacterium
Lineage: Bacteria
Description: partial 16S ribosomal RNA
Rfam family: Bacterial small subunit ribosomal RNA
Source: RNAcentral